This 73-nucleotide transfer RNA is filed under the name Kitasatospora viridis. It matches the Rfam family "tRNA". From Rfam's summary of the family: Transfer RNA (tRNA) molecules are approximately 80 nucleotides in length. Their secondary structure includes four short double-helical elements and three loops (D, anti-codon, and T loops). The record is from Rfam by way of RNAcentral. Lineage: Bacteria; Bacillati; Actinomycetota; Actinomycetes; Kitasatosporales; Streptomycetaceae.
GGCCGUGUGCCCGAGUGGUCAAGGGGACCGUCUGCAAAACGGUUUUCCACGGGUUCGAUUCCCGUCAUGGCCU